This 564-nucleotide ribosomal RNA is filed under the name uncultured bacterium. RNAcentral describes it as "bacterial SSU rRNA". It matches the Rfam family "Bacterial small subunit ribosomal RNA", at positions 338 to 916 of the family's 1533-position model. The record is from RNAcentral.
CCUACGGGAGGCAGCAGUGGGGAAUUUUCCGCAAUGGGCGCAAGCCUGACGGAGCAAGACCGCGUGAGGGAGGAAGGCUCUUGGGUUGUAAACCUCUUUUAUCAGGGAAGAAGAUCUGACGGUACCUGAUGAAUCAGCAUCGGCUAACUCCGUGCCAGCAGCCGCGGUAAUACGGAGGAUGCAAGCGUUAUCCGGAUUUAUUGGGCGUAAAGCGUCCGCAGGUGGUUAUUCAAGUCUGCUGUUAAAGCGCGAGGCUUAACUUCGUACAGGCAGUGGAAACUGGAUGACUGGAGUAUGGUAGGGGUAGCGGGAAUUCCCAGUGUAGCGGUGAAAUGCGUAGAUAUUGGGAAGAACACCAGCGGCGAAAGCGCGCUACUGGGCCAUUACUGACACUCAUGGACGAAAGCUAGGGGAGCGAAAGGGAUUAGAUACCCCUGUAGUCCUAGCUGUAAACGAUGGGUACUAGGUGUUGACCGUAUCGACCCGGUCAGUGCCGUAGCUAACGCGUUAAGUACCCCGCCUGGGGAGUAUGCACGCAAGUGUGAAACUCAAAUGAAUUGACGG